AAUUUUAGCUAGAAAUGAUUACAAGUACAUGAACAAAAAUAACCGUAUGUUGUCAAAAGCAGUACAAGUGCGUUGUCCAUGGUCUCACGGCAACAAAUCACUGAUAACCGUCCGAUUGGUCAUCGGCGAAAAUGUCUUAUCCUUCAGACCGAUUGAACAUCCUUCUGAGCUGAUUCUCUCUCGAAAAUUCCAAACAAAAUCCUGUGUCCGAAUGGACCCAAUCUAUACUUCGUUUGAUCAAAUCCAAGUUAUUGAUCCCGAGGCAUACGGAUUCACCGCCCCAGAAUCCCAACUCUAACCGACUCAGCCACGAACUUACGCAGCUGAUCAUUUACUCCUUUUCAGUUGUGGCCACAAUCGAGCUCUCUCGGCCAUACUUCCGUUUUGUUUUCUGCUAUUCCAAUUUCUUCACUCGGGGCAUGUCCUCUUCGCUGUCUCCGAAUGCGAACGAUGGGGAAACUGUUCGAAGGGACCGAAUUCUCUCCAGCAAGUUGUAUUUUGAUGUUCCUUCUUCAAAGGUUCCGGUGAUAUAUUCGUCAUCGUACGACAUCUCAUUUCUUGGAAUAGAGAAGUUGCAUCCAUUUGAUUCGAAGAAAUGGGGUCGUGUAUGCCAAUUCCUUAUUGCCGCUGGAGUUUUAAGGAAAGAUCAAAUCAUUGAGCCUUUCGAAGCUAAGAAGAAUGAUCUUCUUGUGGUUCAUUCCGAAUCAUAUUUGGAUAGUCUGAAGAACAGUUCAAAUGUUGCUAAGAUUAUUGAGGUAACUAGUUACUUGUUUCUUCUUGGGAGUGAGACUUCAGUCUAUGCUAAGGUUCCUCCUGUUGCAUUGUUUCCUCAUUGUGUUGUUGAGGAGAAAGUUCAACGUCCAUUCCGUAACCAGGUUGGAGGGAGCAUAUUAGCUGGAAAAGUAGCAAAAGAGAGAGGAUGGGCCAUCAAUGUAGGAGGUGGUUUUCACCAUUGUUCUGCAGAACAAGGAGGGGGAUUUUGUGUGUAUGCAGAUAUUUCUCUGUGUAUACAUUAUGCCUUUGUUCAGCUAAAUAUAUCGAGGGUAAUGAUUGUUGAUCUUGAUGCCCAUCAAGGAAAUGGCCAUGAAAUGGAUUUUGCCUAUGAUAGACGAGUAUAUAUUCUUGAUAUGUUCAAUCCUGGAAUAUAUCCAUUUGAUCAUGAGGCUAGAAGAUGCAUUGAUCAGAAAGUUGAAGUAGUUAGUGGGACCACAACAAGUGAAUACUUGAAGAAAUUAGAUGAAGCACUCGAGGUUGCUGCCACUUCGUACGAUCCAGAAUUAAUUGUUUACAAUGCUGGGACUGAUAUUCUAGAUGGAGAUCCUCUGGGCUUGUUAAAGAUUAGUGCUGAGGGAAUAGCUAAGAGAGAUGAAAAGGUUUUCAGAUUUGCUCGUGCGAGGAACGUUCCCAUUGUGAUGCUGACAUCCGGUCCUUUCCCUGAACAUGCGGUUACAUGAAAUCUAGCGCUAAAGUCAUUGCUGAUUCAAUCGAAAAUCUCUCGAAGCAAAGUUUAAUUGAUACAGAAAGCUCUCCAGGCAGAACCUAGUCACCAAGUUAAAGUGUGAGGAAUCCUGCAAAGAGGAGUUAAGAUCACGCAGGAGUUUGUUAUACAUUUCACAUGAUCCACGAAUCUCCAGCUUUGCCUUUCCAACGUUUACCACUGCUCCUUUUACAUUUUAGCCCUUCCUCUUUCUCUCUCUUUUUAUGAUUUUUAUGAAAUUAUGCAAUUUUUGUCUGAAAAGUCUGAAUCCACACAGCUGUGUUUGAAUUGUGUAUCACAAUAGGUUUAUAUAGUAUAAUUUUUAUAUGCAAGUUUGUGAGAUUAACAGGCUCAAUUUCAUUAUUCG
This is an RNA transcript of Benincasa hispida (wax gourd), 1844 nucleotides long. It is a transcript of the gene named histone deacetylase 2, with no coding region annotated. The record is from RefSeq and is a predicted model, not a curated record. NCBI's taxonomy places the organism in Eukaryota, Viridiplantae, Streptophyta, Magnoliopsida, Cucurbitales, Cucurbitaceae.